This 684-nucleotide ribosomal RNA is filed under the name Salmonella enterica subsp. enterica serovar Kentucky. Its description in RNAcentral is "bacterial SSU rRNA". It matches the Rfam family "Bacterial small subunit ribosomal RNA", at positions 1 to 670 of the family's 1533-position model. The record is from RNAcentral. Lineage: Bacteria; Pseudomonadati; Pseudomonadota; Gammaproteobacteria; Enterobacterales; Enterobacteriaceae.
ACUUAAAUUGAAGAGUUUGAUCAUGGCUCAGAUUGAACGCUGGCGGCAGGCCUAACACAUGCAAGUCGAACGGUAACAGGAAGCAGCUUGCUGCUUUGCUGACGAGUGGCGGACGGGUGAGUAAUGUCUGGGAAACUGCCUGAUGGAGGGGGAUAACUACUGGAAACGGUGGCUAAUACCGCAUAACGUCGCAAGACCAAAGAGGGGGACCUUCGGGCCUCUUGCCAUCAGAUGUGCCCAGAUGGGAUUAGCUUGUUGGUGAGGUAACGGCUCACCAAGGCGACGAUCCCUAGCUGGUCUGAGAGGAUGACCAGCCACACUGGAACUGAGACACGGUCCAGACUCCUACGGGAGGCAGCAGUGGGGAAUAUUGCACAAUGGGCGCAAGCCUGAUGCAGCCAUGCCGCGUGUAUGAAGAAGGCCUUCGGGUUGUAAAGUACUUUCAGCGGGGAGGAAGGUGUUGUGGUUAAUAACCGCAGCAAUUGACGUUACCCGCAGAAGAAGCACCGGCUAACUCCGUGCCAGCAGCCGCGGUAAUACGGAGGGUGCAAGCGUUAAUCGGAAUUACUGGGCGUAAAGCGCACGCAGGCGGUCUGUCAAGUCGGAUGUGAAAUCCCCGGGCUCAACCUGGGAACUGCAUUCGAAACUGGCAAGCUUGAGUCUCGUAGAGGGGGGUAGAAUUCC